GACGAACGCUGGCGGCGUGCUUAACACAUGCAAGUCGAACGGAAAGGCCCUGCUUUUGUUGGGUGCUCGAGUGGCGAACGGGUGAGUAACACGUGAGUAACCUGCCCUUGACUUUGGGAUAACUUCAGGAAACUGGGGCUAAUACCGGAUAUGAGCUCCUGCUGCAUGGUGGGUGUUGGAAAGUUUCGGCGGUUGGGGAUGGACUCGCGGGUUAUCAGCUUGUUGGUGGGGUAGUGGCUUACCAAGGCUUUGACGGGUAGCCGGCCUGAGAAGGUGACCGGAGACAGUGGGACUGAGAUACGGCCCAGACUCCUACGGGAGGCAGCAGUGGGGAAUAUUGCACAAUGGGCGGGAGCCUGAUGCAGAAACGCCGCGUGCGGGAUGACGGCCUUCGGGUUGUAAACCGCUUUCGCCUGUGACGAAGCGUGAGUGACGGUAAUGGGUAAAGAAGCACCGGCUAACUACGUG
Molecule: ribosomal RNA, 468 nt
Filed under: uncultured bacterium
Lineage: Bacteria
Description: partial 16S ribosomal RNA
Rfam family: Bacterial small subunit ribosomal RNA
Source: RNAcentral